AGUGAACGCUGGCGGUAGGCCUAACACAUGCAAGUCGAACGGCAGCACAGUAAGAGCUUGCUCUUACGGGUGGCGAGUGGCGGACGGGUGAGGAAUACAUCGGAAUCUACUUUUUCGUGGGGGAUAACGUAGGGAAACUUACGCUAAUACCGCAUACGACCUACGGGUGAAAGCAGGGGAUCUUCGGACCUUGCGCGAUUGAAUGAGCCGAUGUCGGAUUAGCUAGUUGGCGGGGUAAAGGCCCACCAAGGCGACGAUCCGUAGCUGGUCUGAGAGGAUGAUCAGCCACACUGGAACUGAGACACGGUCCAGACUCCUACGGGAGGCAGCAGUGGGGAGUAUUGGACAAUGGGCGCAAGCCUGAACCAGCCAUACCGCGUGGGUGAAGAAGGCCUUCGGGUUGUAAAGCCCUUUUGUUGGGAAAGAAAAGCAGCAGGUUAAUACCCCGCUGUUCUGACGGUACCCAAAGAAUAAGCACCGGCUAACUUCGUG
Molecule: ribosomal RNA, 492 nt
Filed under: uncultured bacterium
Lineage: Bacteria
Description: partial 16S ribosomal RNA
Rfam family: Bacterial small subunit ribosomal RNA
Source: RNAcentral